This is a long non-coding RNA of Salvelinus fontinalis (brook trout), 3472 nucleotides long. RefSeq lists it as uncharacterized. The transcript is spliced from 3 exons. The record is from RefSeq and is a predicted model, not a curated record. Lineage: Eukaryota; Metazoa; Chordata; Actinopteri; Salmoniformes; Salmonidae.
CACGUCGAUACGCCGAUGUGGACGUGAUAUUAUCAUCAUCUCUAGACUUUGCAGCUCCUCUGUGGCUCGAGCUGACUUAUCGUGACGUCACCCACUGUAUCUGACUGUAUGCAGCCCUUCAUGGAGCGCGUGGCUGCGAGCACAUGGAAAGGAGGUCGAGAUUUGUGCUUGAAAGACACGCACCUAUUCAUCCGAAAUGGAAUAUAAAUAAUAAUGCGCAAAAUAGAGUCAGAGAACGGGAAGACUGUUGAAGACCCUUCUCGCUCUGCUCUACUCCGCUGUCAAUCAACCAGGAUCAGCAGAUUUAUCAUGAAAAUCAAGUCACCUGGAUGGAAGUUAUGAAAAGGGGGACUGGAAUGUCCUGUCAUCCAUUUCCUCCCACUCAGAAACACUGUGCUGGUGUGGUGAUAGCAUCUAGAGGUACAGGAUCUAGGUAAUGAAUGAACUGGGAUGCCCACACACUGACGAUGGGACCCUGGACAACCUGACACCAAGUAUGGAAAAGGAUGACUGACUUUCCCACCAAAGUCCCGUAUCAUCGGAGGUGGCUACAGCCAAUUGAACACACACACACACACAUUCUCACAUUCCACACAGGCAGAUGCCUUGCCACACACAGCUUAUCCACACACCAUAAUUCACAACAUAAUCCACAUGCCACAAGAUGGUUUGUGCAUGCUGUGUUGCGGCAUUGCUGCUCUUGGUCUUAUUAAGGUGUUACUGUAACCUGUACUGUAUAGCAGCUGAAGAUAUUCUACCCACACAGUCUAUUUGAUGAGUUUAGGACUCACCGAGGGAGAUUCUGACGAUUAGUGAUUGAGAAAUCACCUCCCUAUUGCACGGAUUCAUUUGAGCUCUUACUGGAAGGAUCUUUAUGUCAACUGAAAGUGAAGAUAUAAGUACAUUUUGACAAUAACAUUUUGUCUAUGUCUACAUGUUUGUGGUACAAACCAAAGCCGAAUAGGAGUUCUAUCUUUACAGUUCUCACUUUUCCUUCCCAUGACUUCACAAUCUCUGUGAAUGGAAUCAUGUUCUAUUGUUGCCUAACCUGUUUCGAUGGGUUGGCUUAACAUACACGUGCAGUAUAGGGAGCUAAUUACGACAGCAAAAGAGGAGGGGAUCAGCUCUCACACUGAAAGGCAUAUUUGUGUUAACACUGUUUCUAUACUCAUACAUUACCAUACAUUAUCUGUUCAUGAUCUGCAGUGGCAUGUGACUGAAUGUCCAUACAUUUGAUAACAACAGUUUCACACUGUGAAGCAUAUUAGUGUUCACACUAUUCACAAAUACAUGUAGACUAUAUUUCUACAUUAUCUGUAACUUAGCCGUAGUGGAAGCUGACUGAAUUUCAAUACAUGUGAUAAUGUCUUGGUUAUCUUGAUUUCAGCCAUUAAAGCAAGGCCUGCAGGGUCAUUGUCACUAUUUGAGUUACAAGGGUCAAAUCAGGGUCAUGUCUGUUACUCACCCCGGCAACACAACGUUAAAGGAAAAGGUUGUUAACUUACAGAGAACUCCCCUAUGAGAACUCCCCUAUGUUUUCCCUCACAGUGGGGAAAUUGAGUGCAGCAGGUGAGAAAGAACGUAAACAGCCCAAACCACAAGAUAUCCUGCUGUUCAUUUCAAUGGUCAUUUUAUUUGAAUCACUUAAUAACUGCGUAACAACAUGUUACUACAAUGAUAGAACUGUGUUAGUAAACAGGUACACAAGGGAACUCUAUGUAAAACAUUGGUAUUCAGACCAGAAGUUUAAUAUGUAUGCAUUAAGUGGUGAUUAUAUGUACAACAAUGUAAAUGUUCAUAAAAAUGGUAGUUAACAAUGACAAAAUGUACUGUAAAAGUAGAUGUUACGCAGUGUAAACCCUCUCUUCACAAAAAAAAAGCACCAAUUAGAAGUCACAUAAGAGUUGUGAGGAGUUUUAAUCCAGCUAAGUGAUAGUCCACUCUUUGAUGUUGGGUCAAUACCUCUUUCGGGGAGGAUGAAAGAACAAACCUUUCCUGCCAACAAUCAAUCUCUCAAUGUAUGACCAUGUAGUGUUUUAAAUUCAGCUCUUUAUCAGCAAUAGUGACAUUAUGGAUUAAAUAAAGCUUUAUCGCCCAGGCAGGAAAAGGCUGGGCUGUCUGCCUCUCUCUCUGAUCACGCUCACUGCCUUUUGAUGUGGGCCUCUGUUUGUUCACCAGCGCCAGCGGUCUGCGCUCCCAUUGAGCAAUCUGCCACUGGCUAAAUCCCUUUCUCCUCGCUGGGCAGCAGCAGCAUUGUUUGCAUUUACACUGGGAGGUGUGAAACAUGCAGUCUCAUUCACACCUCCCCAGCGCCAGUUCUUUUUUUUUUGUCGUCGGCUCCGCUGACCAGUCCACACCUGAGUUCAGACACUUCAACCACUGGUCGUAAUACCUCUUGACCGUGACCCAGUAUUCUGUUGUGAAGCCACUCCUAAAGGUACGGUGUCCAUAUUAGGACAUCCUCAGCCUCAGCAUGACUUAUUUCACAUUCAGCACUUAUUUCAGUCGAAUUCAAAUGUGGGUCUACAAUGAGAAUGCUUCAUCGACAGCAUAGCUUCUCACUAUGUGGCUAGUUUCACUAUCAAUCAGUAGAAUCUACUAAACUGCUUCUGUAAUAAAUGUUGGCUUCCUCAAAAAAGCUCUACAUUUUCCCAAAAUAGAGACAUGAUGUGUUGUAUGGAGAGAAAUUGUAUUAAUGUGUCUGAAACGUGUCUGAAACAUCAAAAACAUUUCUCAGUCUAAUUCUUACAAUAUCUGUCUAUUGAAGUUGAGGGUUGUGAGGUACUCGACUGCUAAACUUUGAGUACAGUAUAAGUACUAGUCAAUGUCUUGGGCAUCAAUCCAAAGGUUUCACUACAAGUGAUAUGGAUCCCAGAUUGAAUGGCAACCUUGUAAUUCAAGAUCAAAUAUUUAUCUGAGAUUUCAACCCCCCCCCCAAUUGUUUUAAAUAUAUAUUAUUGUUGAUAUGCCAUUGAAAUUCAUUGAGCAGCACACUGUAUACAGUAUUUUGUAUUGAUAGGAGAAGUUACACUACUUGUCAUUCACCACCAUCUGAGACAUUUGCUAAGCUAAAACACUUCCUAAAGCGGAAACCAAAACCUCUGAGUUCAGUUCCUCAUAGCCUGAGGACUAGAACUUACACACCAUAAAUGGAAGAGAGUUCAUUCACAAAUUGCACUUGGUCAGACCAUGACAUAGAACAUGGAGAAGAGCUGCAGUGCUUACCAACAGCCUGGGAUUUGUUUAAUUGGGCUUAUAAUGGCACUUUUGUAAUGACAACGUGCAUAACGCAUAACUUCUCACGCCCUGAUCUGUUUCACCUGUUUCUAUGAUUGUCUCCACCUCCUGCAGGUGUCGCUUAUUUUCCCCAGUGUAUUUAUCCCUGUGUUUCCUGUCUCUCUGUGCCAGUUUGUCUUGUAUGUUAGUCAAGUCAACCAGCGUGUUUUUCCCGUACUCUUUUUCUAUUCUCUUU